This 468-nucleotide ribosomal RNA is filed under the name uncultured bacterium. Its description in RNAcentral is "partial 16S ribosomal RNA". It matches the Rfam family "Bacterial small subunit ribosomal RNA", at positions 28 to 507 of the family's 1533-position model. The record is from RNAcentral.
GACGAACGCUGGCGGCGUGCUUAACACAUGCAAGUCGAACGGAAAGGCCCUGCUUUUGUGGGGUGCUCGAGUGGCGAACGGGUGAGUAACACGUGAGUAACCUGCCCUUGACUUUGGGAUAACUUCAGGAAACUGGGGCUAAUACCGGAUAGGAGCUCCUGCUGCAUGGUGGGGGUUGGAAAGUUUCGGCGGUUGGGGAUGGACUCGCGGCUUAUCAGCUUGUUGGUGGGGUAGUGGCUUACCCAGGCUUUGACGGGUAGCCGGCCUGAGAGGGUGACCGGCCACAUUGGGACUGAGAUACGGCACAGACUCCUACGGGAGGCAGCAGUGGGGAAUAUUGCACAAUGGGCGGAAGCCUGAUGCAGCAACGCCGCGUGCGGGAUGACGGCCUUCGGGUUGUAAACCGCUUGCGCCUGUGACGAAGCGUGAGUGACGGUAAUGGGUAAAGAAGCACCGGCUAACUACGUG